AACCAUAACUCGUUUCACCGAUAUAGGCUUUCUCAAAUGGUGUAAAGUUGGUAUACAACUUGAGAAAGCCUAUAUCGGUGAAAUGCGUUAUGGUU
Pelobates cultripes (western spadefoot toad) is the source of this 95-nucleotide non-coding RNA. Lineage: Eukaryota; Metazoa; Chordata; Amphibia; Anura; Pelobatidae. The record is from the annotation of a GenBank genome assembly.